ACUACGUGCCAGCAGCCGCGGUAAUACGUAGGUCCCGAGCGUUGUCCGGAUUUAUUGGGCGUAAAGCGAGCGCAGGCGGUUUGAUAAGUCUGAAGUAAAAGGCUGUGGCUUAACCAUAGUACGCUUUGGAAACUGUCAAACUUGAGUGCAGAAGGGGAGAGUGGAAUUCCAUGUGUAGCGGUGAAAUGCGUAGAUAUAUGGAG
This 203-nucleotide ribosomal RNA is filed under the name Streptococcus suis. Its description in RNAcentral is "partial 16S ribosomal RNA". It matches the Rfam family "Bacterial small subunit ribosomal RNA", at positions 500 to 703 of the family's 1533-position model. The record is from RNAcentral. Lineage: Bacteria; Bacillati; Bacillota; Bacilli; Lactobacillales; Streptococcaceae.